This 141-nucleotide small nuclear RNA is filed under the name Sparus aurata (gilthead seabream). RNAcentral describes it as "U4 spliceosomal RNA (ENSSAUG00010026431.1)". It matches the Rfam family "U4 spliceosomal RNA". Rfam says of the family: U4 small nuclear RNA (U4 snRNA) is a component of the major U2-dependent spliceosome. The record is from Rfam by way of RNAcentral. Lineage: Eukaryota; Metazoa; Chordata; Actinopteri; Spariformes; Sparidae.
AGCUUUGCGCAGUGGCAGUAUCGUAGCCUAUGAGGUUUAUCCGAGGCGCGAUUAUUGCUAGUUGAAAACUUUACCCAAUACCCCGCCUAGACGACUUGAAAUAUAGUUGGCGACGGCAAUUUUUGACGGUCUCUAAGGAGA